Molecule: ribosomal RNA, 331 nt
Filed under: Tannerella forsythia
Lineage: Bacteria; Pseudomonadati; Bacteroidota; Bacteroidia; Bacteroidales; Tannerellaceae
Description: bacterial SSU rRNA
Rfam family: Bacterial small subunit ribosomal RNA
Source: RNAcentral
GAUGAACGCUAGCGAUAGGCUUAACACAUGCAAGUCGAGGGGCAUCGAGGGUAGCAAUACCUGUCGGCGACCGGCGCACGGGUGAGUAACGCGUAUGUAACCUGCCCGCAACAGAGGGAUAACCCGGCGAAAGUCGGACUAAUACCUCAUAAAACAGGGGUUCCGCAUGGGGCUAUUUGUUAAAGAUUUAUUGGUUGCGGAUGGGCAUGCGUACCAUUAGGUAGUUGGUGAGGUAACGGCUCACCAAGCCAUCAAUGGUUAGGGGUUCUGAGAGGAAGGUCCCCCACACUGGUACUGAGACACGGACCAGACUCCUACGGGAGGCAGCAGU